RNAcentral lists this ribosomal RNA (517 nucleotides) under Polypedates leucomystax (Java whipping frog). RNAcentral's name for it is "partial 16S ribosomal RNA". It matches the Rfam family "Bacterial large subunit ribosomal RNA", at positions 1858 to 2595 of the family's 2925-position model. Lineage: Eukaryota; Metazoa; Chordata; Amphibia; Anura; Rhacophoridae. The record is from RNAcentral.
CCUGCCCAGUGAAUUUUAAACGGCCGCGGUAUCCUAACCGCGCGAAGGUAGCAUAAUCACUUGUUCUUUAAAUGGGGACUCGUAUCAACGGCAUCACGAGGGUUUUACUGUCUCCUCUUUUUGAUCAGUGAAAUUGAUCUUCCCGUGAAGAAGCGGGAAUAUUUUUAUAAGACGAGAAGACCCCAUGGAGCUUUAAACCAAAUAACAACUUAACUACUUAUCCCACAAUAAAUUUAAGCCCUGUUAUAAGGUUUUUGGUUGGGGUGACCGCGGAGUAAAGCACAUCCUCCACGACGGAAAGAACAUAAUCUUUAUUUAAGAACCACACUUCUAGAAAUUAGUAUACUAACGUUUACUGACCCGACAAUCGAUCAACGGACCAAGUUACCCUGGGGAUAACAGCGCAAUCUACUUCAAGAGCUCAUAUCGACAAGUAGGCUUACGACCUCGAUGUUGGAUCAGGGUAUCCCGGUGGUGCAGCCGCUACCGAAGGUUCGUUUGUUCAACGAUUAAAACC